CCCCAGUAACUGCGAGUGAACGGGGAACAGCCCAUCGUCGAAGCCCCCGCGGACCCCGCGGUGGGCAAUGUGACGAAUCGGGGUAGCCGAGACGUCGACCGGCGGGUCGUUGCCUCAAGUCCGCGUGACCGUGGCUCUCGCCCCGCGAGGGUGAAAGGCCCGUCGUGGCAACGACGAUUCCUCGCCGGCGGACUCGGUUUUGCCUCUGCACCCGAGUCGGAUUGCUUGAGAGUGUAAUCUUAAGCGGGUGGUAAACUCCAUCCAAGGCUAAAUAAUUCCACGAGACCGAUAGC
This 293-nucleotide ribosomal RNA is filed under the name Hanseniella sp. EBU8403. RNAcentral's name for it is "partial 28S ribosomal RNA". It matches the Rfam family "Eukaryotic large subunit ribosomal RNA", at positions 78 to 341 of the family's 3401-position model. Lineage: Eukaryota; Metazoa; Arthropoda; Symphyla; Scutigerellidae. The record is from RNAcentral.